Non-coding RNA from Pelodiscus sinensis (Chinese soft-shelled turtle), 4922 nucleotides. Lineage: Eukaryota; Metazoa; Chordata; Testudines; Trionychidae. The record is from RefSeq and is a predicted model, not a curated record.
AAUGCCUAAAACUAAAGUGUCACUAGUGUCUGUCACUUUUUUUUAUACAGAGAAAUGGUAUUGAAGCCAGUGAUCUUAAGAAUGCAACAAGGGACAUAGUGUUCUCUAACAAUUUGUGCAGGACAUCCUCAGUCUUAUUUCCUUCUCCAUCCUUUAUGUAUCAAGGCUUUUUGAUUCUUGAGAUGUUGGUCCUCCCUCAUCCAGCACCUAAUCUUUCCCAAAUGAGGGAGUUUCCUGGACCAGGGAUGGUCAAUUCCAGCCCCUCUGCUGUUGGCCUUUGGGUUCUUCCUGGGGUCCGCCAGCCUCCCAGUUAGGCUCCUCUCACGGCUCCUGGCCCUCCUGCUGGACCUGGCCACCAGGCUCCGCUGCCACUGGAACAGCUGCACUGCUAGCCCCUCAACCAUUGGAUCAGCUUUGCUUCCAGAUCCUCCGCCACUAGACUCCCAGCUGGCUCUUGCUCCUAGUUGUUGGGGCUCUCUGGUUCAGCAACUUCUGUGGUCUUACUAGAGCAUGGAUUUUGCUGGACUAGAGAGCUUCAAUGUGUAAAGCACAGACCAAAUUGCUGCAUACAUCUGUUGAGUAUAAAUGUUGAUCUCCAUAUCUUUCAGCUGGUUGCAUUUUUGACUAUGGUCAUCAAAAGAGAUUCCUUCAGGAUCUAAUGCUACAACAGACUAUCGUUCCAGCUCUGUUUCACAUCACAGCAACAAAGAAGUGAGUGGCCUGAUUUUCAAAGGCUCUGAGCAAUGCAGCUCCCAUUGUCUUCAUUGGAACCUGCAGUUGGACAGCAUCUGUGUAAUUCAGCCUAACUUCAGUGCUGCGGUAGCUUUGAAAUCUCUGGCUGAAGAAUGGAAGAGAGAUGGAGAGUGCUGCGGGGAAAGUGUCAACAACUGGUUCCAGCACACUGCAGAGAGAAAUAAGUUCCAAGCUAGAAGCUGCUUUCUACACAGAUCAUAAAUACUGAGGAUUUUCUUCAGGGACUGGCCUAAACACUGAGCCAAGCUUCAAAAUGAGACUCUGGAAAGGAAUAAAUCUGAACAGAUUAUCAGCUGUUUCAAAGUGGACCUGUUCAACAGGGCAGAAGAGAAGGACAUGCUACCCCACACAGAUUCUGGACAAACAACGGAGCAGAGAUUUCACAGUUCCAGAUUAACUUAAUUGCUGAAGAGACUUGAAGGCCCUUCUUGCUUAGUGGGACUCCCUGCCAAGGAGAGGGAUUGCCUGUGUGAGAGAAUGCCAUGACACCAUUUGGAAGGAGUAUCCCAAGUCCCCAGUAGGAUAAUUUCCCUCUGCUCCAGCUUGAUGUUCUCAUUCUCCAAGACCUUCCUCCUCCUCAGCAGCACAGAAGCUGCCAGACUGAGAUGGGAACCAUGUGCCCAGAAAGUUUCAUCCAUGUAUCUCUGUCUCCCUUCCCACCUCCUGGUCAGCCACUCUGGUUUCAAGAAUCCACACUCCAUCUCUGAGGACCAUGAGUUGCUUGCACCCAUGAGGUAGAUAAUCCCAUGCUGUAUACUGCAUGCAGUGCAAUAAACUGCAUAGCCCCCACUCUGUUGCUGGACUUCUGCAUGUACUAUUUUUAUUCUUGUAGGGACUUCUUAUUUGUGUAAUUUUUUUCUUUAGGGGAAGGUUUAGUGGCUCAAGUGGUCCAGGUAAGAGAAUAUUUCUUAGAUCUUGCAGGCCCUCUAAAUGUCUUCACAAAACUCCCCAGUUUGUAGAUCCUCUGAUCACGUAUGAACUUUUUUUUUUUUAACCGUUGGUUGUCCCUAAAUUAGUCUCACCUCCCUUGGCAAGAGAUUCUAAAGGGAUUAGAGUUCAAAGGAUGACAGGCUAGAGCCUCCUUAGGCAGCACUUAGCCUUGCCCAGUUGGCCACUGAGCUCAGUGCACAGUCUCCGCCCCACCCAAAACAGACCACACUAGAAACUUCACUCAGGAAGAUGGCCAGCAAACCAGCUCACAACAAACAAAACAAAACAAACUCACUCACUAAGGGAUAGUGCCUUCACCAGGAGAAAUGCCUUUCAAAACUCCCCUGCUUUUGCAUUAUCUUACUUAUUGCAGGACAGUAGUUCUCCCUGGUUGUGCAUAUUGUUAGGACCUCACAAAGCACAUCAGGAAUUAGGAUGAAAUAUGGAUGUCUGUGUGUAUCUGUAGGCUCCCAAGCUUGAAAAUUUUGAACGAUGGGGUACAUUUUUAAAGGGUUGAGGCUUUCCUUUUUGAUCUGGACAAGUUGUGCCAGUAAAAUAUCAACUGAGUAUGAAAAUCGGUGUACUUGCACAUUUCACUGUCUGAGUUUCAGCAUCUGUUAGAUGCACACGUAUUCAGAAUUGCACUGGGAGGUAAGUUGUGGGUAUAAACCAGAGGCGAGGAAUCUUUUUGGGCCAGGAGCCGCUGAUCCACAGAAAAAUCAGUUGGGGACCGCACACUAGUGAGAAACAAAAAAAUUCAAAAGCAGAUCCUCACUGAUCUGGCCCCCGACUGAGGAGAAAGACACUCCUCACAUUCCCCUCAUAUACCAGAGCCAAGGGGGCCCAGGCUACUAGAUUUUGUGUGAUCGAGCUCCGUGGGAGGAUGUGGUGGGGGGAGGGGAGAGCACUAGUGUGGGCUCCUCAAUGCGGGGGGAGAGCCCCAAGCCUGGGGGACGGGAUCCAGGCAAGCCGGGGGCCAUAUCCAGCCCCCGGGCCUUAGGUUCCCUACUUCUGGUAUAAACUAUUCCUGCCAUGCUCUGGUGAAUGCACUGGUGGGAUGAAUUUUGUGCGUGUAAAUUGGGUCCUCCAAAAAAUUGCAGCUGUUGUAAAAUUUUCUAAUAAAUAGAACUUUCCUGGAAUUAGAUUAGCAUAUAAUUGUCUUUCUCCAUAUUGUUUGCCUUGCAUCAUCUCUUUUGCGUGACAUGUUUACUUUGUCUCAUCUCUUGUGUGGCAUGUUUACAUUUUACUGUGUCUCAAAAAUUUGUCUGCUGGGCUGGAUGAUUCAUGUUUUUGUUGGAUCUUUUAGCUCAAUUUACUGUUUUAUUACUGUGUGUUUUUGAGUUUUAAUUGAGAGGUUUAUACACUGACCUUCCUGCUUUAAAAUUAUAACUUUUAGUGCAUAAUAUUUUGAAAAAUGAGUCAAAUGCUUCUGUAACUCAGGCUAAUAUAUUGAGGAAUUUAGCACGCAGGCAUUGGGCUUGAUUUUUCAUUAUGUUGACUGGUUUUGUGAUGCUGCAGCUCCACUGAUAACAAUGGAGAUUUGCUGGAAUAUAAUUGGUGUAGCAAGAAUGGAAAAUUAGUCCCUUAAUUGAUGCACUUCAGUAGGAUAUAAGAUCUCUCUCAAAUAUGCUAGUUUGGGCAUAAUUAAAACAUGGUCACAAAGCGUUUUGUGAUCCAGGUCCUUAACUGAUGUAAAUUGGCAUAGCUCCCAUGCAGGUUACAUUGAUUUUCCACAACAGGGGAUCUGGCCCUGUGUAUUUUCAUAUUUACACACAAUAGAUUAACAGAAGAAUUUGCAGAAGUCCCUGUAUGCAACUGAAUUGCACACUAGUCAGUUCAUGUUAUUGAUCAUAGAGCAAUUAUUUUAACAACUCGAUCCUUUUAAACAAGGUGUUAAUUGAUAUCAGCAAAAUAUAAUGGAUAAACUAGAUUUGAUAGCAUGGAAGGAGACUCUGGAUUCUUUACAACAAUAAAGAAAAUACUAGGAAGAAGCAAACCAGACCAAACUAGAUAAAUACAAAAGACAUGAUUGAUUAAAGGGGUAAUCAUGUGUGCCAACAGCUUUUGUUUCAAAGCAGAGACAAAUGAGCUUCUUCCUACAUGGUCUUUUGAAGAAAGAACUCCAUCUCCCAUAGCAAGUUUACCAACAAAGUGAGUCUCUUCACACAUCCUCAGAGGAAUAUUUCUCUUUCUUUUUAAACUAAUUGUGGGUAAACAUAGUGCUUAGCCAAAGUAAAGGGAUAAUAGUGUUUUCUGUAGCCAGGCAUUGCGUGGGCAGAUGUUGCACAAGACAUCCUCACAUAAGGCUGCCAAGGACCUCUGGUCUGACCUGCAAGGAGGUAUGCCUUUCUCAUCCCAGGCUCCUUGUGAUCAGAGAUGGUGAGCUGUGCUGAAAUUGCAUGGUAGUUCACGAAGGAGACAAGUGGGGACUAGAAUGAGAGCAACACAUUUUGAAUUAAAUUCCACAGAACUAAAGGUGUGAGCUAUGGAAAGGACAGGGAGAGGCGGCUUGUGGUUAAGGGCCCAGUUCAGUUCCUCAGAUUUUCCAGAUAACUUCAGACAAGCUAUCUAUUCUCUCUGUGUAGGUCAGGAAAUUAGGUCGUAGGUGGGCGAGCCAAGUGGUCAGAGCAGAAGUCAGAGCUGGAUUAUGAGAAUUUAGGGGAGGCAGAAGGAAGACUGGACAAAGACUAGGGUGCAGGGCAGGGUGUAUCAGGGCUGUUCCCGCCAGUGUUGAUCCCCUAUGCAGCCCUGUAUCGACACCCCUCCCCCAGGGGAGUGGCCACUCUGCAGGGGUAGAAGCUGUGUGGGGAUCGGGGUGGUCCACUCUCCCAGACUACAUAGACCAGUUUCCAUUUGCUGCAAUGGAGCCCAGUCUGGGAGAGUUGGCCACUCAGGAGCAGGGCAGGGAGAGGAGCUGAGCUGCAGCUUCAGAGAAGCAGGUGGAAGGUACGGGCAGGGAGUGGUGCGAGCACAGGCUGGAGAACUCAGGAGGAGCAGGGGGCAGCCGAGCUGCCAGCUGAAGAGAAGUGGUCCUUGGAAGGGGAAGCUGAUGCUUCUCUCCAGCUGUCUGCUGCAUGGCUGCCCCUGCUCUGCUUGCAUCCUCUGUGCCUCCCUCACACUGCUCUCUGCCACCUGGUGAGCGGGGGCUGGGCGCAGCCUGCAGGGCACCUCAGUCAUGGAGAUGGGCCACGGGAGCCAGUACAGAGCCCACAAAGGAGGGGAAGUGGCCAGGAACUGCC